This 64-nucleotide ribosomal RNA is filed under the name Campylobacter jejuni. RNAcentral's name for it is "partial 16S ribosomal RNA". It matches the Rfam family "Bacterial small subunit ribosomal RNA", at positions 1 to 59 of the family's 1533-position model. The record is from RNAcentral. Lineage: Bacteria; Pseudomonadati; Campylobacterota; Epsilonproteobacteria; Campylobacterales; Campylobacteraceae.
AAUUUUUUAUGGAGAGUUUGAUCCUGGCUCAGAGUGAACGCUGGCGGCGUGCCUAAUACAUGCA